UCCUCUAUCUCUAUCCCCCCUCUCUCCGCCCCACCCCUCUCUCUCCCGCUCGUCUCUCCGAUUCCGGCGAGCUCCGGCGGGAUUCGACGGCGCCCAGCACACCCACGUGACCCCCUCCCCCCGCUCCUCCAUCCCCUCCGACCAGAUCCGAUGCGCGCGUGGGAUCAGAUGUUGCUAGUGGUAGUUCGGGGCGUGCGGGCGGACCAGAUCGACCUCAAGACCCUCGACGAGCAGCUCGACCGCCACCUCGCGCGCGCCAGGACUGGGAGGCUGACCCCGCCAGGCUCGUCGUCCGGGCCGUCAUCGCGCGCGGCACCUUCGGCACCGUCCACCGCGGCGCCUUCGACGGCCUCGACGUCGCAGUGAAACUGCUUGAUUGGGGGAGGAUGGUCAUAGGUCAAAGCAAGAAAUAACAGCAAUAAGAGCAGCAUUUUCGCAAGAAGUCUCCGUCUGGCAUAAGCUUGAUCAUCCAAAUGUAACUAAGGUCUCUUCGUCAUGAUCUGGAUUGCCGCAGUCAUGUUCAAGUCCAAUGAUAUCUUGCGCAAGCAGACCGCUCUCAAGAUACAACGGUCCGGCAAGCUGCUAUGGUGGUCAAGUGUGUGCUGCCUAGGAAAAUAGAUAUUUAGUUUUAGGUCAUUUAUUGUAAUUUCAGAUAUGGAGUGCUUGUCUUUAGUUUUUGUUUUUACUUUGUGAAACUUGCUACCUAUGAAUGAAUUGUGUAAUAUUGAUGAAACUAUGUAUAUGUAUGGAUGAAACUUGCUACUA
This is a long non-coding RNA of Triticum aestivum (bread wheat), 765 nucleotides long. RefSeq lists it as uncharacterized. The record is from RefSeq and is a predicted model, not a curated record. NCBI's taxonomy places the organism in Eukaryota, Viridiplantae, Streptophyta, Magnoliopsida, Poales, Poaceae. The transcript is spliced from 4 exons.